UGUUUUGUAGCUCAGUAGGGUAGAGCAAUCGAUAUGAUUCGAUCUGUCGUGGGUUCAAUUCCCAUCAAAACAA
Molecule: transfer RNA, 73 nt
Organism: Saccharophagus degradans 2-40
Lineage: Bacteria; Pseudomonadati; Pseudomonadota; Gammaproteobacteria; Cellvibrionales; Cellvibrionaceae
Rfam family: tRNA
About the family: Transfer RNA (tRNA) molecules are approximately 80 nucleotides in length. Their secondary structure includes four short double-helical elements and three loops (D, anti-codon, and T loops).
Source: Rfam